CAGCUCAGGGGACAGUCCCUUCCCUAACCCUGCUGGCUACUUUAUUCCUGCUAAAAUCCAGGUGCCAGUGGCCUCCUGCCCACCUGGGCACACCUGGGGAUGUCCAGCUGCUGUCACCAGCACCCCCAGGGACAUUUCCAGCCUCUCUGGCCCAGCCUGGAGCAUUCCAUGAGGUGAACCUGGCCCUUGGUCUUGUUGGAGCUCCAACCCAUCCACUCCCACCUCCAUCCCUGAUCCCUGGCAGGGAACAGCUGGAGCUGUGUCAGUGCAGCUUUAAGAUGACCAAACUGAGGUUUCCCUUUGGGUUCAAACCCAAACACUUCAGCAGAGCUGUGCUGCCUCACUCCACAUUUCAUUUUUGUUGCCUGGGACCUGCUCAGGGCUGAACAUCCACGGAUCCAUUUGAUCUCCAGCAGCCAAAUUCCUUCCCUGCCCUUCCCCACAGCUGAGACCUGCCCCCUGAUCUCAGCCAUUCCCAGAUUGCUGUGUCCUGCUGGGAACUGGGACAAACUUCCCAGCCUUUCCAAACCUGUCCUUUGCAUUCAGCUGCCCCCCCCAGCUCUGAUCCCCCCCCGGAGCUGUGGGAUUUGGCAAUGUGGGAUUUGGGAAUGCCUUUCUGUCCCAGAUUGCAGGGCAGGAUGAGUUCUGUCACCAUCUGCAGCUGUCUGGUGCCAAGUGGGCAAUUUCUCUUUAUCUCCCUCUCUGAGUGAUCACAGUCACUCCUUCUCAUCAGGGGACAUCUGAUAAGAGGCCACUGGUUGUCCCUGCAGGGCUGAUAAGAACUGCAGCAUCCCACUGGGAGAUGUGAGCCCAGGGGGAGGAGCCAACAUUCCUACCUGGAUAGAAUCUGGGGAUUCUGGAACACCAGCCCAGCUUCCAGCUGGAUUCCCCAGAGGAACAGCAGCUGCCUCCACUUCCAGGGAUCUGGGCAGGAGGAACACCUGGGAAAAACACCAGUCACUUGGUUUGUAAAAUUUUAAAGGUUUAAUAGUAAUAAAAUAGUUACAAAAAUGGUAAUACA
RNAcentral lists this long non-coding RNA (1021 nucleotides) under Serinus canaria (Common canary). RNAcentral's name for it is "lncRNA (ENSSCAG00000012408.1)". The record is from RNAcentral. Lineage: Eukaryota; Metazoa; Chordata; Aves; Passeriformes; Fringillidae.